GGGUGGGGCCGGGGGGCGGGAGGCACACCUCAGGAGCGGGGGUCCUGGGCCGAGGAGGAGGAGGGCGCCGAGAAGCGGGAGGAGGCCGCUGGGUUCCACUGCAGAGGUGCUCGGAAGACCAGUGAAGGAAGAGGAAAGUGAUGCAGUGAAAACAAGACAACCAGUGGUAUACUGUCAAGCUGGUACCUCAGCAGGUUAUCCGUCUUCUUACUGAUCUGUAGAAAAACAACCCGUUUUGAUCAAAAACUCCUCUAUAUCCUGGCUUCUCCAUUACCUCUUUGGAAUGGUCCCUCAGAGUUAUCUAACAGGCUGCUGUUCUGGAUUGUAGUUCUCAAUAAGGCCCUGAAUAAAAUAUAAUUCUCAGUCUUCAAGCCUGAAGAUGACUGAUCCUUUGAAGAGAAGGUAGUCAUCAAAGAAUACACAGCCACAGACUUGGAGAGGCAGAGAACUGCUGUAUUUAUUACAAAGCCAAGUGUAACAGAAUACCUAAGCCCGCCAGGCUCCUCUGUCCAUGGGAUUCUCCAGGCAAGAACACUGGAGUAUUUUAUAGAUGACAUAUCUGAGAGGUGGAGCUCUCUGCCCAGGGUGAUACAGACAUCUAGAAUAUGGUGGAUCAAAGAAUCUAAUGAAAAAAAUGCUACUUACAAGAAACUCCACCCUUGGAUCUUGGUUAAUUGUAGUCUGUAUCCCUAGUUCACUUUUGCUG
Cervus elaphus (red deer) is the source of this 706-nucleotide long non-coding RNA. RefSeq lists it as uncharacterized. Lineage: Eukaryota; Metazoa; Chordata; Mammalia; Artiodactyla; Cervidae. The transcript is spliced from 7 exons. The record is from RefSeq and is a predicted model, not a curated record.